RNAcentral lists this ribosomal RNA (467 nucleotides) under uncultured bacterium. RNAcentral describes it as "partial 16S ribosomal RNA". It matches the Rfam family "Bacterial small subunit ribosomal RNA", at positions 28 to 506 of the family's 1533-position model. The record is from RNAcentral.
GACGAACGCUGGCGGCGUGCUUAACACAUGCAAGUCGAACGGAAAGGCCCUGCUUUUGUGGGGUGCUCGAGUGGCGAACGGGUGAGUAACACGUGAGUAACCUGCCCUUGACUUUGGGAUAACUUCAGGAAACUGGGGCUAAUACCGGAUAGGAGCUCCUGCUGCAUGGUGGGGGUUGGAAAGUUUCGGCGGUUGGGGAUGGACUCGCGGCUUAUCAGCUUGUUGGUGGGGUAGUGGCUUACCAAGGCUUUGACGGGUAGCCGGCCUGAGAGGGUGACCGGCUACAUUGGGACUGAGAUACGGCCCAGACUCCUACGGGAGGCAGCAGUGGGGAAUAUUGCACAAUGGGCGGAAGCCUGAUGCAGCAACGCCGCGUGCGGGAUGACGGCCUUCGGGUUGUAAACCGCUUUCGCCUGUGACGAAGCGUGAGUGACGGUAAUGGGUAAAGAAGCACCGGCUAACUACGU